Molecule: long non-coding RNA, 596 nt
Filed under: Cicer arietinum (chickpea)
Lineage: Eukaryota; Viridiplantae; Streptophyta; Magnoliopsida; Fabales; Fabaceae
Description: long non-coding RNA (CARI_LNC001000)
Source: RNAcentral
UUUGUCAUUAUAGUGGUGCAAUUAUUAUUACAGAGAAUAUAGUAGUACAGACAGACAUUGAUUUAUAAGGACAUGUCAGACAUCUGGCAUCUGUCUUGAGUUGCUUAUCUGGUGAAUGUCUGUUACAGUUUUCUGUGUUAUUGGAAGGUUGUUUAUAUGAUGUUUAAGAUUUCUUUAGAAAUGGGUUCACGUGAUAUUUGAGGAUGUAUUAGAUGAAACUUGGCUACUGAUGGCUUAUAGAGGAUGUUUUUAAAGAACCGCCACAAAACGCCGAAGUGGGUGUGCUGGCAUUCCAAAUGUGGUGCGCUUCAGUUAGUGGUAGUACCUAAGGUUAUCAACAUUGUAAUUUUACAUUUAAGGUCACACUGUCUUAUUAUUAUUAUUAUUAUUUACGACCGACAUUCUUGGUCGCAUGUUGUGUAACUGUUGAGAUUGAUUAGGUAACAUUGCCAAGCAACAUCAGAAGUACAUAAUUUGGGUUCUGGUGUGCUACCACUUAAGUGGUGGAUCGAACCAAAUUGGGAAAGAAAAACUAAGGUCUGCCCAAACCCUAAACUCUCACUCAACCUCAUUUCUUCAUUUCACUUCUGUGAUUC